UGGUGGAGUGAUUUGUCUGGUUAAUUCCGAUAACGAACGAGACCUUAAUCUUUACUUGACGUUCGCCACUUUGGUGGUUGUUCUGAUCCGUAAAGAGACUGUGUACGCUUAGUACGCGGAAGUUUGAGGCAAUAACA
Molecule: ribosomal RNA, 137 nt
Filed under: uncultured eukaryote
Lineage: Eukaryota
Description: partial 18S ribosomal RNA
Rfam family: Eukaryotic small subunit ribosomal RNA
Source: RNAcentral